AUUAUUAUGUAAUACAGGUGAGCAUUUCGGUGAUAGGUGUUCAGGUAGGACCAAGGUCAGUAGAAGAUGGAGAAGACAGAAGACCUUGGUAUAUUGCUGCAAUUUCCACAUUUUCAGGGAAGGAACGCACUUGCCAAUGAGGAAGUGAGAGGCUUAUUGCAGCUGUCAAAAGGUCUGAACAAGUCCUCAACAAUGGCUCCCUACUGCUGUUUACCGGAUGAUUGGAUGCAUCGCCGAUCAAAGACAUCAGAUUCAUGUUGGACAUCGCCUGCACCCAUUCCAAGAUUGUCUCGCUUGUUGAAGUUUGUCUUAUAGCUUAUUUGCAGGAUUGACAUUUGGUGUGAAAUGUAAUCUUUGCCUUGGAUAAUAAUAUUCUGCAUAAAACGAGUAUCAAAAUAAUUGUUGCACGCAGCAAGAAUUUUUUAAUGAAACUUCUGAUCAGAGAAAAAGAAAGAAAUGGAUAUCGUCGAUAUAUAUUACAGAUUUGUUUCUAAAUUGUAGUACAGUACUCUAUCAGCUCAUAUCGUUUCAAGGUAUUUUAUUUAUUAUGUAUAUUUAUUAUUGUGUCAGGGGGAGGUACCCAUCAGUUCUCAAACAAAAAUACGGUACUUUUUUGAGUUCACCUUUAAGAAAAUAAUUUUAAUUCAAAAAGUAUUUGCUGAAGUGAUGGAUUAAAACAAAAAUGAUAGUUAUUAUCAUUAUAAGGCGAAUUUAGGUAGAAUACUGUUCCUGUUCCUUCUAGUUGAAGGUAAAAUUUAUCUGUGGGCAAAUCUUCAAUCGGCCACUUAGCUGUGCAUUUGAGGAUAUUUUAAAUAUUUAUUUUGAAUUGAAUUGAAUUCUGAGAAAUUUCAAGAAGAAAAAUAUCUCAACUUUAUUACAUGAAACUUUUGAGAAACAAACGGUUACAUAUAUUGACCGUUAAG
Molecule: long non-coding RNA, 923 nt
Filed under: Lingula anatina
Lineage: Eukaryota; Metazoa; Brachiopoda; Lingulata; Lingulida; Lingulidae
Description: uncharacterized LOC106153680, transcript variant X2
Source: RNAcentral